This 253-nucleotide ribosomal RNA is filed under the name uncultured bacterium. RNAcentral's name for it is "partial 16S ribosomal RNA". It matches the Rfam family "Bacterial small subunit ribosomal RNA", at positions 524 to 776 of the family's 1533-position model. The record is from RNAcentral.
UACGUAGGGUGCAAGCGUUAAUCGGAAUUACUGGGCGUAAAGCGUGCGCAGGCGGUUCGCUAAGUCAGGUGUGAAAUCCCCGGGCUUAACCUGGGAACUGCAUUUGUGACUGGCGGGCUAGAGUAUGGCAGAGGGGGGUAGAAUUCCACGUGUAGCAGUGAAAUGCGUAGAGAUGUGGAGGAAUACCGAUGGCGAAGGCAGCCUCCUGGGCCAACACUGACGCUCAUGCACGAAAGCGUGGGGAGCAAACAGG